GGGCCGGUAGUUCAGACUGGUAGAAUACGCGCAUGGCAUGCGUGGGGUCAAGGGUUCAAAUCCCUUUCGGUCCA
This 74-nucleotide transfer RNA is filed under the name Candidatus Nitrosopelagicus brevis. It matches the Rfam family "tRNA". From Rfam's summary of the family: Transfer RNA (tRNA) molecules are approximately 80 nucleotides in length. Their secondary structure includes four short double-helical elements and three loops (D, anti-codon, and T loops). The record is from Rfam by way of RNAcentral. Lineage: Archaea; Thermoproteati; Nitrososphaerota. RNAcentral also lists the same sequence under 1 other name.